UACGGAGGGUGCAAGCGUUAUCCGGAUUUACUGGGUUUAAAGGGUGCGUAGGUGGGCAGGUAAGUCAGUGGUGAAAUCUCCGGGCUUAACCCGGAAACUGCCAUUGAUACUAUCUGUCUUGAAUACCCUGGAGGUGAGCGGAAUAUGUCAUGUAGCGGUGAAAUGCUUAGAUAUGACAUAGAACACCCAUUGCGAAGGCAGCUCACUACGGGAAUAUUGACACUGAUGCACGAAAGCGUGGGGAUCAAACAGG
RNAcentral lists this ribosomal RNA (253 nucleotides) under uncultured bacterium. RNAcentral's name for it is "partial 16S ribosomal RNA". It matches the Rfam family "Bacterial small subunit ribosomal RNA", at positions 524 to 776 of the family's 1533-position model. The record is from RNAcentral.